Molecule: ribosomal RNA, 1125 nt
Filed under: Triticum aestivum (bread wheat)
Lineage: Eukaryota; Viridiplantae; Streptophyta; Magnoliopsida; Poales; Poaceae
Description: partial small subunit ribosomal RNA
Source: RNAcentral
AUGAAAGAAAUCUUCCGCCUCCACGACUUGCCACUGGCUAUCAUAUCAGACCGGGAUCAUAUAUUUACAGGGCAUGUGUGGCAGGAACUGUUCAAGCUCUGCCGAACGAACCCGCGUCUCAGUUCGUCAUACCACCCCCAGACGGACGGGCAGACCGAACGCGUCAAUCAGUGCCUGGAAGGGUAUCUCGGGUGCGCAGUCCACUCCUGCCCUGGCAACUGGUCCAAAUGGCUGCCUCUCGCAGAAUACUGGUACAAUACGUCCUUUCAUUCGGCUCUGGGUAAGACUCCGUUCGAGGUCAUCUACGACCACCUUCCCCGAGAAUUUGGCAUCGCGCAGAUAGGCGAGUGUGCAGUCCCUGAUCUUGCAGCAUGGCUCCAGGAAAGAGAGGUGAUGUUAGAACACUUGCGGCAGCAGCUCAAGCAUGCGCAGGACCGCAUGAAGGUUCAGGCCAAUCGACACCGUACAGACAAAGAGUUCGCCACUGGUGAUGCAGUGCUGCUCAAGCUUCAGCCGUUUAUCCAGUCCUCGGUGGCGCAACGACCGCACCAAAAACUGGCUUUCCGCUACUAUGGGCCAUACAGGGUAUUGGCUCGCGUCGGGGCAGUGGCGUACAAGCUGCAACUGCCUGCCUCCAGCCGCAUCCACCCAGUGGUGCAUGUGUCGCAAGCGAAGAAGGCGUUUGGGGCUACGGUGCCGGUGAGUGCUGACCUUCCUCCCGGUAACUCGAUUUUGCAGGCAGAACAUGUUCCGGAGCUGGUGCUGGACCGCAAGAUGAUGCGCAUUGCCGGUGACAUCCGUCCUCGCAUCCGGGUGCAAUGGAGCCACCUUCCCCGUCGCUGUCGACAUGGGAAGAUCCAGUGGCGUUGCAGCAGCGCUUCCCCUCUACGCCGCCUUGGGGGCAAGUCGGCACACAAGCAGGGGGGAAUGUCACGACUGUCAUGGCGUCCCCACCGGCCACGACGGCCCCACUGGACAGCGGAACCACUGAGCCACGGCCAGACGAGGUGGACGAGGUCAAGGCGCGCUGGAAAGGGGAGGCCAGUGGGCCCGCAUAGUCAGAGCGCGUUGUGUGGGUGUGUGGCCUGCGUGCCGUGGGUAUUACUUGGCGUGGAGAGUGGGUGA